Molecule: ribosomal RNA, 433 nt
Filed under: uncultured bacterium
Lineage: Bacteria
Description: partial 16S ribosomal RNA
Rfam family: Bacterial small subunit ribosomal RNA
Source: RNAcentral
AACGAACGCUGGCGGCAUGCCUAACACAUGCAAGUCGAACGAGACCUUCAGGUCUUGUGGCUCACGUGUGUGUCACGCGUGGGAACCUUACCUUAGGUUCGGCAUAACUCCACGAAAGGGGUGCUACUACCGGAUCAUGUCUUCGGCCCAAUGAUUUAUCGCCUUUGGUUGGGCGCGCGUUGGAUUAGCUAGUUGGUAGGGUAAAAGCCUACCCAGGCGACGAUCCAUAGCUGGUCUGAGGGGACGAUCAGCCACACUGGGAGUGGGACACGGACCGGACUCCUACGGGAGGCAGCAGGGGGGAAGAAGGGACGAUGGGCGAAAGCAUGAGGCAGCAAUGCCGCGUGAGUGUGGAAGGCGGGAGGGUUGUAAAGCGCUCUUACCGGGGAGGAUAGUGACGGUACCGAGAGAAUAAGCCCCGGCUAACUACGUG